This 253-nucleotide ribosomal RNA is filed under the name uncultured bacterium. Its description in RNAcentral is "partial 16S ribosomal RNA". It matches the Rfam family "Bacterial small subunit ribosomal RNA", at positions 524 to 776 of the family's 1533-position model. The record is from RNAcentral.
UACGUAGGGUGCAAGCGUUGUCCGGAAUUAUUGGGCGUAAAGAGCUCGUAGGCGGUCUGUCGCGUCUGCUGUGAAAACUCGGGGCUUAACCCCGGGCCUGCAGUGGGUACGGGCAGACUAGAGUGCGGUAGGGGAGACUGGAAUUCCUGGUGUAGCGGUGAAAUGCGCAGAUAUCAGGAGGAACACCGGUGGCGAAGGCGGGUCUCUGGGCCGUAACUGACGCUCAUGCACGAAAGCGUGGGGAGCAAACAGG